CCGAAUUCUCUUCAUAUGAACGCCUCAUGACCACACUCGAGCGCCGUCUUCCCACUUUGAAGUUUCGUUUCCUAUUUAGCUUUAUAACCGAUUCCUGCUCCGACUCACGCUCUGAUUCAUGUUCAGGUUUCCAUUCAACAUCAAGAUCUGGAUCUUCCCGUUCAUGGCCUGAUUCUUCAGAAUCAGAGGUAUCCAUGUCCUCAAGAACUAUAGUCGAGUUUCGGGUUUCCUGCUUUUUCAUACUAUGCUCGUUCUUUAGGUUCUCCUCUGUGGACAAUUUCUUCAUUGCAGAGGUCUGCAAUAUGGAAUGCCAAUGGUUUUAUAUGCUAAAUUUCAGACAUUUACUAUCUAAUCAAACAAGAGUAGACGAUGUUUUCUACUAACCUGUGCUUUCACCUGAUGCACGAGGUCUGCUUUUUGGAUCUCCAUGUAUCUAACAUAACUGCUAAACUUUACUAUUUUUUCUUUUAGGUCUCUUAUAAGGACAUCCUUUUCUCUGCAGUCUGCCUCUUUAUCUCGGGCUAGACACCUUCAAAGUUAAACAAUGGACGGAAAGAAGAAUGUAGGAUGAGUUAUGCAUCAAAUUUUGAAGAUGAUCCUUCAAGAAGCAACAUAUUACGAAAAAUCUUCAGUCACUAAUUGAGAUUUUACCUCGCAGUUGACGCCAAAUUGAACAGAUAGUUCAUGAUACUCUUCGCGUCACCUAGUGUUCUAACUUGGUUCCACCUCCCU
This 732-nucleotide long non-coding RNA is filed under the name Arabidopsis lyrata. RNAcentral describes it as "long non-coding RNA (ALYR_LNC000681)". The record is from RNAcentral. Lineage: Eukaryota; Viridiplantae; Streptophyta; Magnoliopsida; Brassicales; Brassicaceae.